GGGGUUGUGGCUCAGAGGUAGAGCGCUUGCCUACCAUGUGUGAGGCACUGGGUUCAAUCCCCAGCACCA
This 69-nucleotide transfer RNA is filed under the name Ictidomys tridecemlineatus (thirteen-lined ground squirrel). RNAcentral describes it as "Spermophilus tridecemlineatus (thirteen-lined ground squirrel) tRNA". It matches the Rfam family "tRNA". Rfam says of the family: Transfer RNA (tRNA) molecules are approximately 80 nucleotides in length. Their secondary structure includes four short double-helical elements and three loops (D, anti-codon, and T loops). Lineage: Eukaryota; Metazoa; Chordata; Mammalia; Rodentia; Sciuridae. RNAcentral also lists the same sequence under 1 other name. The record is from Rfam by way of RNAcentral.